UACAGAGGUCCCGAGCGUUGUUCGGAUUCAUUGGGCGUAAAAGGUGCGUAGGCGGCGGGGCAAGUCUGAUGUGAAAUCCCGGGGCUCAACCCCGGAACUGCAUUGGAUACUGCCUUGCUUGAGUACUGGAGAGGGAACUGGAAUUUACGGUGUAGCAGUGAAAUGCGUAGAGAUCGUAAGGAAGGCCAGUGGCGAAGGCGAGUUCCUGGACAGUUACUGACGCUGAGGCACGAAGGCCAGGGGAGCAAACGGG
RNAcentral lists this ribosomal RNA (253 nucleotides) under uncultured bacterium. RNAcentral describes it as "partial 16S ribosomal RNA". It matches the Rfam family "Bacterial small subunit ribosomal RNA", at positions 524 to 776 of the family's 1533-position model. The record is from RNAcentral.